Long non-coding RNA from Pollicipes pollicipes, 625 nucleotides. RefSeq lists it as uncharacterized. Lineage: Eukaryota; Metazoa; Arthropoda; Thecostraca; Pollicipedomorpha; Pollicipedidae. The record is from RefSeq and is a predicted model, not a curated record. The transcript has 3 exons.
CCGGCGACGGCUCCCAGUCGGCGCACGCACAGGCCGCUGGUGACCGGGUCAGCGCCGCUCAGGAGGCUCGCGAUGGAGUCGGCACAGACAGACCCGCCGCGCCCUGCCCGCAAGAUAUCGAGCCCGGUUACGUGUUUGGCGGUUGGUAGUUACGUGACCGUGGCGGUGGUUGUCGUCGUCAUUGUCCUUUGUGUGUACGCGCUGGGUGAGCGGGCGGAGACGGACCGGCCGGACGCUCGCGACACCGCGGUCCGUAUGGCACUGAUGGCUCGGGUGCUGCUCGUCCGUCGGGCCCCCUGUCCGGACGGCAGUCCGCGGCUGCGCGGCGGGGGCUGUCGACCAGCAGUUUCCCUGACGGCACGCCGGCCGCCAGUGCCACUGGCUUUUCUCUUCCUGUGAUGCAUGGCGAUCGGGCCGAACGUUUUAUUUUAAGUGAGGCAACUUCAGCGCCCGUAUCAGAUGCAUACCUCGAACCUGGUAACAUCCGUGGACGCCGAAGCCGACGGCGCACCCCCGUCAUCAGCAGGACACGGCGCAUCCCCGUCAUCAGCAGGAUAUGGCGCAUUCACGCCAUCAGCAGAACAUGGCGCAUUCCCGUCAUCAGCAGAACAUGGCGCAUUCCCGU